AGGCCUAGUGCUGAGGGGUGCAUAUUCCUAGGGCUGAGAACUUCACGGCAGGGAGGGAUCCCCGAGGCUGGAGUAGCCAGAGUGGACUUCCUGGAGGGAGUGGUGCGGGGCCUGGAAGGAUGGGCAAGGCAGUGGCAGUCAGGAAAGGUUGAGUGAUCAGCAGGUUAUUCUUGUCAGACUCAUCUCCAUCUUCUUCCAGCUUGAAUGUGUCACAGGUCCAACCACGUUUCCUGAACCCAGAGUCAUCAUUCUUGGCGAUGGAUAUCCCAGGACACCUGCACUAGAGUGUUGAGCCAAAGGCCCUGUGACUGGAAUCUUCUCCCAAAUUGGGGCUUGACUAAUUCAUCUAAAGUCAGUACUGUGCCUGGUGCUAGAAAUCAUGGUCAAAAUGACAACAGUGGACCACUACUGAAUGCUCACUCUGCGUCAGGCCUCCAUGAAGCAGAUGCAACGUGCUCCAUGUCACUCAAUGAGUGGCUGAUCACGUGAGGAGAAGCAACAAAAAAUCUGGCACUUAGACCCUGCUUACUACAUGCCAGCCUCUUAAUUCAUGUCUCCCUCCUGACAGUCCCACGAUGCAGGUACUCUCAUCCCUACUCUUAUUAUCCCUGUGAUAAUACAGGUGAGGAAACAGGACACAGACGGGUCAGCUCCUGCCACGGCUGCAUAACUAAGAAGGGGCAGACAUGGGAUUUGAAUCCAGCCUUCCACAAGGCCCAGAGGCUCCAGAAGAAACGCUGAAAGGACUUCUCAAUGCUCUGCUGCUGCUGCUGCUGCUGCUGCUGCUAAGUCGCAUCAGUCAUGUCCGACUCUGUGCAACCCCAUAGACGGCAGCCCACCAGGCUCCUCCGUCCCUGCUCUACCAAGUUGCUAAAGAUUUCUUUUCUUUUGAAAGUUUAAGCUGCCCUCUAGCGGAAAAUACAAGCCAAAAUUGGGGCCUG
Long non-coding RNA from Bubalus bubalis (water buffalo), 941 nucleotides. RefSeq lists it as uncharacterized. The record is from RefSeq and is a predicted model, not a curated record. NCBI's taxonomy places the organism in Eukaryota, Metazoa, Chordata, Mammalia, Artiodactyla, Bovidae. The transcript has 2 exons.